This 516-nucleotide ribosomal RNA is filed under the name uncultured bacterium. RNAcentral's name for it is "partial 16S ribosomal RNA". It matches the Rfam family "Bacterial small subunit ribosomal RNA", at positions 28 to 523 of the family's 1533-position model. The record is from RNAcentral.
GACGAACGCUGGCGGCGUGCCUAAUACAUGCAAGUCGAGCGGACUUUCAUUGGUGCUUGCACCUUUGAAAGUUAGCGGCGGACAGGUGAGUAACACGUGGGUAACCUACCCUGUAGAUUGGGAUAACUCCGGGAAACCGGGGCUAAUACCGAAUAACACUUUUGAACUCAUGUUCGAAAGUUAAAAGAUGGUUUCGGCUAUCACUACAGGAUGGGCCCGCGGCGCAUUAGCUAGUUGGUGAGGUAACGGCUCACCAAGGCAACGAUGCGUAGCCGACCUGAGAGGGUGAUCGGCCACACUGGGACUGAGACACGGCCCAGACUCCUACGGGAGGCAGCAGUAGGGAAUCUUCCACAAUGGACGAAAGUCUGAUGGAGCAACGCCGCGUGAGUGAAGAAGGAUUUCGGUUCGUAAAACUCUGUUGCAAGGGAAGAACAAGUAGCGUAGUAACUGGCGCUACCUUGACGGUACCUUGUUAGAAAGCCACGGCUAACUACGUGCCAGCCGCCGCGGUAA